This is a non-coding RNA of Vicia faba (fava bean), 222 nucleotides long. The record is from the annotation of a GenBank genome assembly. NCBI's taxonomy places the organism in Eukaryota, Viridiplantae, Streptophyta, Magnoliopsida, Fabales, Fabaceae.
AUGACAACCAACAACCCCAUAAUCAAAUUUCCAGUUAGUCUACUUGAUUUUCUGCGCCUAAAGAAUGCUUUUAACUAUUUACCCUUUUUGAUUGUUGUUGUUCACACGUUAUUGUUACUGAAUCAGUUGACUUAUAACUUAGGGUCCCUAGUUUACUCUUUUGAUUUUUAUAAAUCUUGUUUGAUCUAUUGUUGGUUUGAAGUGAAGAACCAAGUGAACUGA